GCUUACACAUGCAGUCGAACGGCAGCACAGUAAGAGCUUGCUCUUAUGGGUGGCGAGUGGCGGACGGGUGAGGAAUACAUCGGAAUCUACUCUUUCGUGGGGGAUAACGUAGGGAAACUUACGCUAAUACCGCAUACGACCUACGGGUGAAAGCGGAGGACCUUCGGGCUUCGCGCGAUUGAAUGAGCCGAUGUCGGAUUAGCUAGUUGGCGGGGUAAAGGCCCACCAAGGCGACGAUCCGUAGCUGGUCUGAGAGGAUGAUCAGCCACACUGGAACUGAGACACGGUCCAGACUCCUACGGGAGGCAGCAGUGGGGAAUAUUGGACAAUGGGCGCAAGCCUGAUCCAGCCAUGCCGCGUGGGUGAAGAAGGCCUUCGGGUUGUAAAGCCCUUUUGUUGGGAAAGAAAAGCAGUCGGUUAAUACCCGAUUGUUCUGACGGUACCCAAAGAAUAAGCACCGGCUAACUUCGUGCCAGCAGCCGCGGUAAUACGAAGGGUGCAAGCGUUACUCGGAAUUACUGGGCGUAAAGCGUGCGUAGGUGGUGGUUUAAGUCUGUUGUGAAAGCCCUGGGCUCAACCUGGGAAUU
RNAcentral lists this ribosomal RNA (587 nucleotides) under uncultured bacterium. Its description in RNAcentral is "bacterial SSU rRNA". It matches the Rfam family "Bacterial small subunit ribosomal RNA", at positions 46 to 622 of the family's 1533-position model. The record is from RNAcentral.